Molecule: long non-coding RNA, 193 nt
Filed under: Fukomys damarensis (Damara mole-rat)
Lineage: Eukaryota; Metazoa; Chordata; Mammalia; Rodentia; Bathyergidae
Description: lncRNA (ENSFDAG00000030196.1)
Source: RNAcentral
GGAUAGCUGUAUCUUCCAAGGAAGACAUCUUUGAUGAUAUUUAGCCUCCAGUCUUAAUCUGCAGAAGGGGAGAAAUGUGAUGAAGGUUGUCUCAUUCCACAAAACAUGUGGUAGGUUAUAGUCUGACUGUAGAUCUCCAGCUGGAAUAGAAAAUACAAGCAACUAGAACCCAUGCCUCCAGCUUGCCACCGAU